CGGGAUUUGCUUUAUGGCAUCAAGGAGGGGAAUGUUGGCAUGCACCUUUCUAAAUGUCUCUAGAACAUCUUUUUCCUCCUCUUCGUUCUUUGAUUGCAAAAAAUCUGCUAGGAAAGGGGACAUUGGGCAGAUUAGUAUUCGAAAUCACAACAUUUGGAACAUUCUUACCUGAGGUGGACGGAUGGGAUGUCUUAGAUGGCUGCGGCAUGGGUGAUGGUACCCUUGCCGUGGGGUAGGUGUUCUCAUCUUCUUCGAGUUGUAUCUUCUCAUCUUCCUUGUUUCUCACCUCUUUUUCCACUUCGUAAUGUGAUAGCCUUUGCAGAUUCGAAGCCACCCUUUGGAUUGACCACCGUAGUGCUUGGUAACUUACCAUUUUCACGGAAUUGCCCCAAAAAUUCGGCCAUUUGGCCCAUUUGCUUCUUCAACUCAUUAACCUCCUUUGCUUGGUUCUGCAUUCCCUGCGCCAUGGUGGUUAGUAACUGAUAUGUUUUAUCAUCAUUCAUAGACGUACCUGGGUUAGUUUGGGAAGAUUGUGCCUGAGGAGGUGGUUGUGGUUCCAUUGGCCUUGGAAAGAAACCCAGGGGUUGUCGGAAUCCACUUUGUUGGCCAUAUUGUGGUGCAUCUCUCCAUCUGAAAUUGGGGUGGUCAUGCCAUCCCGGGUUGUAUGUAUUGGAGAAAGGAUCAUUCCUUGGUUGGUUUUGAUUCCCAUAACCCACAGCA
Molecule: long non-coding RNA, 720 nt
Filed under: Malus domestica (apple)
Lineage: Eukaryota; Viridiplantae; Streptophyta; Magnoliopsida; Rosales; Rosaceae
Description: long non-coding RNA (MDOM_LNC013900)
Source: RNAcentral